AGACCUGAAAUUGGAGGACUUCACAAGAGCAGUUCGCAGGUUCAUUUUCAGGUACACUUCAAGUACAGAGCAGUCCUCUUGUGCUGACCCUAGCAAACCAUUGGUGAGUUACCUGAGCAGUACCUCAUUGUGGCCAGAGGGCACAUUUGAAGAGAAACCAAAGGACUUGAAGUUAUGUAUCCCAGAAUGUUUGCAGGUUCAACAUGUGUAUGAAAUACUAGUAAAUGUAGAAGAAAAAAUGAAGCAAAUGAAAGAUGAGGAAGCCAAAAGCCAACCAGUAGUCAAGCCAAAAUCUAAACAGAAAAGAAAAACAUAUUCCAGAACAUAGAUAUUGGGGAAAUACCACACCUGAAAACUUGGAGAAAUGCAUGUAUGGAUAUCUUUGGUGAGCAUCCUUUCCAAAGCAGUUUUUUAAUCAA
Long non-coding RNA from Lingula anatina, 419 nucleotides. The record is from RefSeq and is a predicted model, not a curated record. NCBI's taxonomy places the organism in Eukaryota, Metazoa, Brachiopoda, Lingulata, Lingulida, Lingulidae.